This is a small nuclear RNA of Otolemur garnettii (small-eared galago), 107 nucleotides long. Lineage: Eukaryota; Metazoa; Chordata; Mammalia; Primates; Galagidae. The record is from Ensembl.
GUGCUCGCUUCAGCAGCACAUAUACUAAAAUUGGAACGACACAGAGAAGAUUAGCAUGUCCCCUGCACAAGGAUGACACGCAAAUUCGUGAAGCAUUCCAUAUUUAA